This 282-nucleotide long non-coding RNA is filed under the name Setaria viridis. Its description in RNAcentral is "long non-coding RNA (SVIR_LNC010571)". Lineage: Eukaryota; Viridiplantae; Streptophyta; Magnoliopsida; Poales; Poaceae. The record is from RNAcentral.
UGGAUUUUGCGAAGGGAGGAUGGCCAGUAGUUGCUACUGGCUCUUUAUUAUCCAAUGUGAUCGCUAGUGGUGAGCUUUCUCCCCGACUAUUUUUGUUAGUCUGAGUUUAUUGUAGUCUUGACCCUGUUUUUGCAGGACUUAGCGAGAAAACUGCACCUUCAGCUGCUCCUGCGGUGCCGAGUACUCGGCCGCCUGUUGCCGCGAAGAAGCGCGUGCAAUUGCUGCCACGAUCAACUCGGUGAGUUUUUUAUUCUUGGUUUGUAUCUUUGAGCUUUCUGAAAG